CGGAGGUGCAAGCGUUAAUCGGAAUUACUGGGCGUAAAGCGCACGCAGGCGGUUUGUUAAGUCAGAUGUGAAAUCCCCGGGCUCAACCUGGGAACUGCAUCUGAUACUGGCAAGCUUGAGUCUCGUAGAGGGGGUAGAAUUCCAGGUGUAGCGGUGAAAUGCGUAGAGAUCUGGAGGAAUACCGGUGGCGAAGGCGGCCCCCUGGACGAAGACUGACGCUCAGGUGCGAAAGCGUGGGAGCAAACAGGAUU
RNAcentral lists this ribosomal RNA (251 nucleotides) under uncultured bacterium. Its description in RNAcentral is "partial 16S ribosomal RNA". It matches the Rfam family "Bacterial small subunit ribosomal RNA", at positions 527 to 779 of the family's 1533-position model. The record is from RNAcentral.